RNAcentral lists this ribosomal RNA (457 nucleotides) under uncultured Pseudomonas sp. Its description in RNAcentral is "bacterial SSU rRNA". It matches the Rfam family "Bacterial small subunit ribosomal RNA", at positions 925 to 1382 of the family's 1533-position model. The record is from RNAcentral. Lineage: Bacteria; Pseudomonadati; Pseudomonadota; Gammaproteobacteria; Pseudomonadales; Pseudomonadaceae.
ACAAGCGGUGGAGCAUGUGGUUAAUUCGAAGCAACGCGAAGAACCUUACCAGGCCUUGACAUGCAGAGAACUUUCCAGAGAUGGAUUGGUGCCUUCGGGAACUCUGACACAGGUGCUGCAUGACUGUCGUCAGCUCGUGUCGUGAGAUGUUGGGUUAAGUCCCGUAACGAGCGCAACCCUUGUCCUUAGUUACCAGCACGUUAUGGUGGGCACUCUAAGGAGACUGCCGGUGACAAACCGGAGGAAGGUGGGGAUGACGUCAAGUCAUCAUGGCCCUUACGGCCUGGGCUACACACGUGCUACAAUGGUCGGUACAAAGGGUUGCCAAGCCGCGAGGUGGAGCUAAUCCCAUAAAACCGAUCGUAGUCCGGAUCGCAGUCUGCAACUCGACUGCGUGAAGUCGGAAUCGCUAGUAAUCGUGAAUCAGAAUGUCACGGUGAAUACGUUCCCGGGCCUU